UCGGGAAUUUUGGGCAAUGGGCGAAAGCCUGACCCAGCAACGCCGCGUGAAGGAUGAAGUAUUUCGGUAUGUAAACUUCGUAAGAAUAGGAAGAAUAAAUGACGGUACUAUUUGUAAGGUCCGGCUAACUACGUGCCAGCAGCCGCGGUAAUACGUAGGGACCAAGCGUUGUUCGGAUUUACUGGGCGUAAAGGGCGCGUAGGCGGUGUGUCAAGUCAGUUGUGAAAUCUCCGAGCUUAACUCGGAACGGUCAACUGAUACUGUCACACUAGAGUACAGAAGGGGCAAUCGGAAUUCUUGGUGUAGAGGUGAAAUUCGUAGAUAUUAGGAAGAACACCAGUGGCGAAGGCGGCCAACUGGCUCGAUACUGACGCUGAGGUGCGAAAGCGUGGGGAGCAAACAGGAUUAGAUACCCAAGUAGUCCCUGAGCGGGCUGGCAAGGCGCAU
Molecule: ribosomal RNA, 447 nt
Filed under: uncultured bacterium
Lineage: Bacteria
Description: bacterial SSU rRNA
Rfam family: Bacterial small subunit ribosomal RNA
Source: RNAcentral